GGGAUGGGGGCUAACUGCAGUCGACGGAUCAGAGGGGCUUGCUCUUCUGGUUAGUGGCGAACGGGUGAGUAACACGUGAGUAACCUGCCCUUCACUCUGGGAUAACGUCGGGAAACCGGUGCUAAUACUGGAUAUGACCUACUCGGGCAUCCGAUGUGGGUGGAAAGAUUUAUUGGUGGGGGAUGGACUCGCGGCCUAUCAGCUUGUUGGUGAGGUAAUGGCUUACCAAGGCGACGACGGGUAGCCGGCCU
Molecule: ribosomal RNA, 251 nt
Filed under: uncultured cyanobacterium
Lineage: Bacteria; Bacillati; Cyanobacteriota
Description: partial 16S ribosomal RNA
Rfam family: Bacterial small subunit ribosomal RNA
Source: RNAcentral